UUUUUUUUUUCUUUUUUUUUUCUUUUGGUUUUUCGAGACAGGGUUUCUCUGUGUAGCCCUGGCUGUCUUGGAACUCACUCUAUAGACCAGGCUGGCCUCGAAGUCAGAAAUCUGCCUGCCUCUGCCUCCUAAGUGCUGGGAUUAAAGGCGUGCGCCACCACUGUCCUUCUAUGUGUAAUCUUUCUAGUAGAGGGUUUUUUUGUUUGUUUGUUUGUUUGCUUUGUUUCAUUUUACUGGUGUUUUCUUUAUAUCAGCUUCUCAGCUCAACUCUCUAUAGGAAAUAUGAGAAUCAUCUAAGGAUUUUUCUGGAGUACUCUGGAAGCCUGCUUGCUUAGGGUCUGGGUGCUUCCUGCCUACAGCUCUGAUCUUGGCACUUGUCCCUUUAGACCUCUUCCUCACAGGACUUACCACCUUCUAAUAUGCUGUAUCAUUUGCUUAUUCGGCUAACUCUCUCCCCCAGUCCUGAUUAGUCUCAAUUCCACAGGAGAGCUUUCUGUGCUUUUUCACUGGUGAAUUACCAAGCACAGUGCUUGCAACAGGGGAGGCUCAGUGACUGCUGAAUGGACACGCAGGACCAGGGACCUGGGACCUCCCUACACUCCGUUCCUGUGCAUUCUGUUUCCUCUUGUUUCCUCUAGUUCUCAUGUCUUCUUUCUUGGUUUGCCCCUUUAUUUGUUUAUUUUUGGUGGAACACAUCCUUCAGUAACUUUCUGAGAAAGGGUCUCUCUGUCUCUGUCUCUCUGUCUCUGUCUCUCUCUGUCUCUCUGUCUGUCUGUCUCUCUCUCUCUCUGUUUCUCUCUCACAACCAGAGUAUCUGUAUUUAGCUAUCAGUACUCAGUGGUUACCAUAGACUCUGGCAAAUUAUUUUAUGUGUAAAAUGGCAAUGAAAAUCUCAGCACUCAGGAGGCAGAGGCAGGCAAAUUUCUGAGUUCAAGGCCAGCCUGGUCUACAAAGUGAGUUCCAGGACAGCUAGUGCUAUACAGAGAAACCCUGUCUGGAAAAACAAAACAAAAAAACCAAAACAAAACAAAAAAAAGGUUAGUGUUUUCUCAAGAUAAGCAAGACCCAAAUAAAAUUGAAAGGAUUGGGAAGCAGUUGAGCAGAGUUGGUUACUAGUUGGGCACUUAUGUACUGUGACUUAUCUAACUCUGAGAGUGUGAUUGCUCACUGCAGCCUUAGUCUCCUUACAUGGGUGGUCUUCUCCUGGGGCCA
This 1212-nucleotide long non-coding RNA is filed under the name Mus musculus (house mouse). Its description in RNAcentral is "predicted gene, 50070". Lineage: Eukaryota; Metazoa; Chordata; Mammalia; Rodentia; Muridae. The record is from RNAcentral.